This is a long non-coding RNA of Mauremys reevesii (Reeves's turtle), 2144 nucleotides long. RefSeq lists it as uncharacterized. The record is from RefSeq and is a predicted model, not a curated record. NCBI's taxonomy places the organism in Eukaryota, Metazoa, Chordata, Testudines, Geoemydidae. The transcript has 3 exons.
UCUAAAAAUGCCUCAUGUUUGGUGUGUGGGGGUGGGGGGUGUUUGACAGUGGAGGUGGGUUUUUUUGUUUUGAGCUUUUAACGCAUCUAACUCAUAUGCCUGUGACCUGUCAAACACCUGGGCGGAAAGGUCUCUGUCUUAAAAACAACACACCCCAGCCCACCACCACGCCAACACACCACCACCAAAAAUGAGGUGCUGUCCAACUGCCCCUGGAAACUCCCUCGAACGCGUUAAACCGCUCUUUAAAAGAUGGAGGCCGCUGGGAGCGUGUGUCGCGGCAGGAAUUCUCUCUGGGCCGCCACACAGCUAGGGCGUGCGCACCCACGGAGUUAAACUUGGCCUGAGAACAGAACUGAGUGCAGUCCCACAGCAGCAGGAGAUAUUAGAGAGGAGACGUGCCCCCCUCCCGUCCUCUGCAGCUCAGCGCUAAUCUCCCAGGGCAGGCGGCCAGUGAUUUGCUUCCCUUCCUAAGACAGGACACAAGGCGGGAUGGGAAACGGCGAGGACGUGACCCAGCAGAUCAGCAAUCCCACCCAGUUUCUCCUAGCCCCCAAGCCAGCGUUUUGGCCACCAGGUCGCACGGCUUCUCAAUUUGCACGGCUGUAGCUGAGCUCCGCCUCCGACGCCAUCUCGGCGCGGACGUAGGGGAGAGGUGCCCGAGGCUCCGGAGAAGAGCACAGGAGGAAGCUGGCAGCAAGUGUCUGAGGAACUGCCCAGGGAACUGAGACCUCGUCCUGAGCCUCUGUUGAACCCAGAGCUCUGAGCUGAUCCUCUGCCGAGGAGAUUAAGCCAGGAAAGCCGGGCUCGGAGCACGCGGGUGCUAGAUGUAUUAUUAACUUUUAAUGUGGAGUGCUAGAGAUCCGCGCAUUUGUUUUCCUCGUUACUGAUGGAUAUUUAAUUGGCGAGCUGUUGCUGGGGUGCCGGAGUCAUCCAGCAGGAAUCCACUGCACAUACAAUUUUGCAUUCCUCUGCCGGCUCACUGGCUGCCAAAUAUUUUAAAUAAACAAACCUGACUGCAUCCAUACGUCGCAGAGAGUCAGUUUAUACAUACAGAGCCACGCAGCACACCCAUGGAGGGGCUGCCUCGCCCGUCACUGGGUGAACAACAGAGAUCACCAAGGUGCUCCAAGCACCAGCCAUGAAUUAGUGACGUCGCACGAUCAUUUAAACAGAGAGGAGAAUCGAGGAACAGCGGUGAAGUGAUUUUACCAAGAUCACCCGGUGGCAAAGGCUGGGAAUGGAACCCAGGAGUCCUAGCUCCUAGUCACCUGCACUCACCACUAAAAAAUAUGCCGCUUGCUCAUCUCGAUGCCAUUGAUCAGCCCACUAUGUUGCUGGCACUCACUGCGCAGCUCAGAGGAGGGUGAUAGCCAGGGAAGAAUUUGCAGGGGACGGAGACGGAGUGAGCAGCGGUGCUCAGCAGAGAUCAUCUCUCAGUCCCCUGUUCACACCACAUGAUACCCAGCUGAAGGCUGGGGAAAACAGCAGUCUCUGUGGAUAAAAAUUGCAGUUAUCUUAAUCCUUUGCAUGCUGCACCCGAGUCCUCGCUCGGGGGCUAAGACGUGGCAAUCUGAAAGCUGGCUCCUUUUUCUCAGCUCAUCCUCCCACACACACUUAAAGGGGAACUGAGCUCAAAGCAAACUCAAUCUGUCAUUGAUGCUGGGCCCUACUUAGCUAUGAAAUGGUGACGGUUUAUUUCUUGUGCACUGUACCUUUAAAUUUCCAAGAACUCCGGCAGUCUGCAGAGACAGCUGCCCUUUUGGUCUCACAGCAGCUGCAGCCUGUUACAGAGGAGAGGCACACGCUGUGCUCUCUCCUGGUGUCACGACCGGGACUUGGGUGGUCAGACCUAGUGGUCAGAGCAGGAGUCGGCCAAGGGUCAGAGCCAGACUUGGGAUCAGAAACCAGAGAGUCAGCGAUCAGCACCAAGCCAGAGAGAUGGAACCAGGGACAAGUCAGGAAAGCAGAGCUCGGAGUCAGGAGAGAAGGCCUGGUCCGAUGUCACAGCCAGGCAGAAAUGUACCCAAUUGCAUGGAGAACUUCUGGUGCCGCCUCCUCGCUUAAAUAGCGCGGCCGGACCAAUCAGUGGGGCUGGGUGCUCCUCCAGUCAGGAGUCCUCAGGGUGGGACUAGGGUUUCCUU